CCUACGGGUGGCAGCAGUGGGGAAUAUUGGACAAUGGGGGGAACCCUGAUCCAGCCAUGCCGCGUGUGUGAAGAAGGCCCUCGGGUUGUAAAGAACUUUCAGUGAGGAAGAACGCCUGGUGGUUAAUACCCAUCAGGAAAGACAUCACUCACAGAAGAAGCACCGGCUAACUCCGUGCCAGCAGCCGCGGUAAUACGGAGGGUGCGAGCGUUAAUCGGAAUUACUGGGCGUAAAGCGCGCGUAGGUGGCUUGAUAAGCCGGUUGUGAAAGCCCCGGGCUCAACCUGGGAACGGCAUCCGGAACUGUCAAGCUAGAGUGCAGGAGAGGAAGGUAGAAUUCCCGGUGUAGCGGUGAAAUGCGUAGAGAUCGGGAGGAAUACCAGUGGCGAAGGCGGCCUUCUGGACUGACACUGACACUGAGGUGCGAAAGCGUGGGUAGCAAACAGGAUUAGAUACCCCGGUAGUC
Molecule: ribosomal RNA, 465 nt
Filed under: Vreelandella stevensii
Lineage: Bacteria; Pseudomonadati; Pseudomonadota; Gammaproteobacteria; Oceanospirillales; Halomonadaceae
Description: partial 16S ribosomal RNA
Rfam family: Bacterial small subunit ribosomal RNA
Source: RNAcentral